Long non-coding RNA from Drosophila montana, 1745 nucleotides. RefSeq lists it as uncharacterized. The record is from RefSeq and is a predicted model, not a curated record. The transcript has 3 exons. Lineage: Eukaryota; Metazoa; Arthropoda; Insecta; Diptera; Drosophilidae.
AAACAAAACAAAUUCCAGUUCGUAAUUCGAGUAAAUGACAGCCCUUCGCAUUGUGUAUUGUAUUCAAGGCGUGUUUUUGUGCGUAAAAUAAUAUCUUAUAGCUAAUUUUGAUGUGGCAAAAAAAGUGAGGUUAGGGCGUGUUGCUUGCCGCGUAGAAAGGCGAAAGCAGCCAAAAGUUGGUAAAAACAAGCAAAGAGAAACUAGUUUUAAAUGAUUCAUAUAAUAAGAAAGAGGCUAAACAACUUGUCCAGAUGUAUACUAGGUUCGAGCGAGUUGGCACGUUUGCCUAAUUUUAGGUUAGUUCAACUUGACUUUCUGCAUGAAUCGGUUGAGCGGGGCCAAGAUCGAAGCUAUGCUCAUUCAGGCAACUAAUCAGCCAGGAUUCAAGCUCAAAUUCCAGGCUUGUUAUGGGUGUAGAGCAGCCUUAGAAGGGGGCCAUAAUGCCAUCAAAAGUUGGGCAAAGGCAGCUAUGAAGACGAAUUUUUUAUUAUUACUCAAUAACAAUACAUUCGCCUUCAUCUUCUUCAUCUUCAUUCGUCUUCUUAAAGCAUAAUGAAAAAGAAAUGAGUCAGCUUAAAUAAACGUGUACAGCUUGCACAGCUCGUUCGAUAGUUUAGCAGAGUCUGGUCACCCUAUUCUCAGUGUUGGCUAACGAGCGCAAUUAAUCGAUAUUUUUUGCGGAAGAACUUUAAUUUUGAUUUGCAGCAAAUUGAAAAAUAAAUUGCAUUUAAUAUUUAAAUUAUAUAAUAAUAAUUGAAAUUAAAUUUAAAACUAAAUAUUAAUAUCUUGAUUUCUUUAUAAAUUCUAUAUUCCUGCUAUAUUCUCCUUCAGCAGCCCCUCCCACUUUAAUUUCGUAUUAGCUCUAUACAAAUCAAACCCAUUGACCCUGCUACUUGACUUCAAUAUCGCAUCUAUAACUGUCCAUAAAACAUUUGCAUGAGCUGUGGCUAUUAUCGUGAUUAGCUUAACUUAUGCACGGCCAGAAGUUUGUGUUCCCCGCCCUGACCGGAACCUUGGGCAAAGUGCACUUAAUACACAUUAGCUACGCUUAUUUGACAGACCCCGGUCGCAGAUAUUGAUGAUGCCCGUCUGCCCGUCUUUGACACCCUCGACGUCAGCCGGCGCGUGCUCUGCCCUGGGAUCAAGUGUAUCUCUGGCCGCUCAGGCAUUACCGCAACGGAUGUCGGUAGCCGGGGUCCGGUAGUCGGUUGAGGCGGGCGGCAUUUACGCAUCGGUUGGAUUGGAAUUUUCUCAUGGCCCUGUAAUUACUUUGUUUCCAAGCGCCGGGCGGUCGCUUCUUAAUCCUGUCAGGUUGCCGGCAUAUUUUCGGUUUUGGCAUCUUCGUCACAUUGCAAUUAAAAGCGCACAGCAGGUGUGCCCCGAAAGUCCUUUGAACUUGUGCUAUAAAAUGUGAAUGUGUCACUUGCAAGGAUUCCACAACCGGAUGACGACGGACACGAGGACAGACGCCCAACGUCAGACGCCCGACUACUGUGAUUUCUGAUGCUACCCAAGUGAAAAGCAAUUAUCACGUCAUUAUCAUAAGGAAACCCACAAACAGUUUUGUUUUUUGUGUUUUUAAUACCCUGUAACUGUGAGAUUGAGUGGGAUACAAUGAGUCGAGUCGAUAUAGCCGAGUCCGUUUAUCUAUCUCUACUAGAGCUUAGGAGCAUUAAGGUUUGUGGAGGUUUAUUUUCACUCGACUACUGCUCAAUUUCUCUAAAAUCGAUAAAUAUCGAUUUUCA